AUUGAACGCUGGCGGCAUGCCUUACACAUGCAAGUCGAACGGUAACGGGCCUUCGGGUGCCGACGAGUGGCGAACGGGUGAGUAAUGCAUCGGAACGUACCUUUCAGUGGGGGAUAACGUAGCGAAAGUUACGCUAAUACCGCAUAUUCUGUGAGCAGGAAAGCAGGGGAUCGCAAGACCUUGCGCUGAUUGAGCGGCCGAUGUCAGAUUAGCUAGUUGGUGAGGUAAAGGCUCACCAAGGCGACGAUCUGUAGCGGGUCUGAGAGGAUGAUCCGCCACACUGGAACUGAGACACGGUCCAGACUCCUACGGGAGGCAGCAGUGGGGAAUUUUGGACAAUGGGGGCAACCCGUGAUCCAGCCAUGCCGCGUGAGUGAAG
This 379-nucleotide ribosomal RNA is filed under the name uncultured bacterium. RNAcentral describes it as "bacterial SSU rRNA". It matches the Rfam family "Bacterial small subunit ribosomal RNA", at positions 30 to 410 of the family's 1533-position model. The record is from RNAcentral.